This 494-nucleotide ribosomal RNA is filed under the name uncultured bacterium. RNAcentral describes it as "partial 16S ribosomal RNA". It matches the Rfam family "Bacterial small subunit ribosomal RNA", at positions 28 to 507 of the family's 1533-position model. The record is from RNAcentral.
GACGAACGCUGGCGGCGUGCUUAACACAUGCAAGUCGAACGGAAAGGCCUGCUUUCCCUUGUGGAUUGCGGGUACUCGAGUGGCGAACGGGUGAGUAACACGUGAGUGAUAUGCCCCCAACAUGGGUAUAAGCCUGGGAAACUGGGGCUAAUUACCGCUAGCACUGCGGGGUGGUGUCUGAGGUGGCAGACGAUUUGCUUGUGGUUGCGGAUGAGCUCGCGGCCUAUGAGCUUGUUGGUUGGGUAAUGGCCUACCAAGGCGGCGACGGGUAGCCGGUCUGGGAGGGUCGGCCGGCGCAGUGGGACGGCGAUAUGGCGCAGACUCCUACGGGAGGCAGCAGUCGGGAGGAAUGCACAAUGGGCGGUAGCCUGAGGCAGCGACGCCGCGUGGGGGAUGACGGCCUUCGGAUUGUAAACUCCUGUCGACCGCGAGGAAGCCACCGGGUCGGAAGGGUGGUGACGGUAGUGGUAGAAGAAGCACCGGCUAACUACGUG